RNAcentral lists this transfer RNA (73 nucleotides) under Hofstenia miamia. Its description in RNAcentral is "tRNA-Arg for anticodon CCU". It matches the Rfam family "tRNA". From Rfam's summary of the family: Transfer RNA (tRNA) molecules are approximately 80 nucleotides in length. Their secondary structure includes four short double-helical elements and three loops (D, anti-codon, and T loops). Further hydrogen bonds mediate the characteristic L-shaped molecular structure. tRNAs have two regions of fundamental functional importance: the anti-codon, which is responsible for specific mRNA codon recognition, and the 3' end, to which the tRNAs corresponding amino acid is attached (by aminoacyl-tRNA synthetases). tRNAs cope with the degeneracy of the genetic code in two manners: having more than one tRNA (with a specific anti-codon) for a particular amino acid; and 'wobble' base-pairing, i.e. permitting non-standard base-pairing at the 3rd anti-codon position. The record is from RNAcentral. Lineage: Eukaryota; Metazoa; Xenacoelomorpha; Acoela; Hofsteniidae.
GUCCUUGUGGCCUAAUGGAUAAGGCGUCAGGCUCCUAAUUUGAAGACAGCAGGUUCGAGUCAUGCCAGGGUCG